GACGAACGCUGGCGGCGUGCUUAACACAUGCAAGUCGAACGCUGAAGCUCAGCUUGCUGGGUGGAUGAGUGGCGAACGGGUGAGUAACACGUGAGUAACCUGCCCUCUUCUUUGGGAUAACGCCCGGAAACGGGUGCUAAUACUGGAUAUUCACUGAUUCUCGCAUGGGGGUUGGUGGAAAGGUUUUUUCUGGUGGGGGAUGGGCUCGCGGCCUAUCAGCUUGUUGGUGGGGUGAUGGCCUACCAAGGCUUUGACGGGUAGCCGGCCUGAGAGGGUGACCGGUCAGAUUGAGACUGAGAAACGGCCCAGACUCCUACGGGAGGCAGCAGUGGGGAAUAGUGCACAAUGGGCGAAAGCCUGAUGCAGCGACGCCGCGUGAGGGAUGGAGGCCUUCGGGUUGGAAACCUCUUUCGCUCAUGGUCAAGCCGCAGCUUUGGGUUGUGGUGAGGGUAGUGGGUAAAGAAGCGCCGGCUAACUACGUG
RNAcentral lists this ribosomal RNA (482 nucleotides) under uncultured bacterium. RNAcentral's name for it is "partial 16S ribosomal RNA". It matches the Rfam family "Bacterial small subunit ribosomal RNA", at positions 28 to 507 of the family's 1533-position model. The record is from RNAcentral.